RNAcentral lists this ribosomal RNA (433 nucleotides) under uncultured bacterium. RNAcentral's name for it is "partial 16S ribosomal RNA". It matches the Rfam family "Bacterial small subunit ribosomal RNA", at positions 29 to 507 of the family's 1533-position model. The record is from RNAcentral.
AACGAACGCUGGCGGCAUGCCUAACACAUGCAAGUCGAACGAUCCCUUCGGGGCUAGUGGCGCACGGGUGCGUAACGCGUGGGAACGUGCCCUGUGGGUCGGAAUAACGCAGAGAAAUUUUAGCUAAUACCGGAUAAGGUCUUCGGACCAAAGAUUUAUCGCCCUUGGAUGGGCCCGCGUUGAGUUAGCUAGUUGGUAGGGUAAAGGCCUACCAAGGCGACGAUGCAUAGCGGGUGUGAGAGGAUGAUCAACCACACUGGGACUGAGACACGGCCCAGAAUCUUCCGGGAGGCAGCAGUGGGGAAUAUUGGACCAUGGGCGAAAGGAUGAUCCAGCAAUGACGCGUGAGUGAUGAAGGCCUUAGGGUUGUAAAGCCCUUUUAACCGGGAUGAUCAUGACAGUACCGGGAGAAUAAGCCCCGGCUAACUCCGUG